RNAcentral lists this long non-coding RNA (225 nucleotides) under Elaeis guineensis (African oil palm). RNAcentral describes it as "long non-coding RNA (EGUI_LNC030869)". Lineage: Eukaryota; Viridiplantae; Streptophyta; Magnoliopsida; Arecales; Arecaceae. The record is from RNAcentral.
AGAUCUUCACUGGAAACAUUUCUGUGAGGUCCUGGAAUAAAAUAAAAGAAAGAUCUCUUUUCAAAGGUUUAGAAUUUUAUUUUGUUCUCCUUGCCACGCCCCGAACCCAACUGUAAUAACCCGGCCCAUUUGAGCCUUGGACCAAGCCCAAACCAUUAAAGCCCAUAUGAAAAAAAAAAUCUGAAAGAAGACUCCCGUUGGAGUCGUCUUCUUCUUUUCCAUGCC